RNAcentral lists this ribosomal RNA (465 nucleotides) under uncultured bacterium. Its description in RNAcentral is "partial 16S ribosomal RNA". It matches the Rfam family "Bacterial small subunit ribosomal RNA", at positions 28 to 507 of the family's 1533-position model. The record is from RNAcentral.
GACGAACGCUGGCGGCGUGCUUAACACAUGCAAGUCGAACGGAAAGGCCCUGCUUGCAUGGUACUCGAGUGGCUAACGGGUGAGUAACACGUGGGUGAUCUGCCCUGCACUUCGGGAUAAGCCUGGGAAACUGGGUCUAAUACCGGAUAGGAGCCAUUUUUAGUGUGAUGGUUGGCAAGUUUUUUCGGUGUAGGAUGAGCUCGCGGCCUCUUAGCUUGUUGGUGGGGUAAUGGCCUACCAAGGCGGCGAAGGGUAGCCGGCCUGAGAGGGUGGACGGCCACAUUGGGACUGAGAGACGGCCCAGACUCCUACGGGAGGCAGCAGGGGGGAAUAUUGCACAAUGGGCGCAAGACUGAUGCAGCGAGGCAGCGUGGGGGAUGACGGCCUUCGGGUUGUAAACUCCUUUCGCUAGGGACGAAGCAUUUUGUGACGGUACCUAGAGAAGAAGCACCGGCUAACUACGUG